GUAGGUCUGAGACUUACCAGUGGAGGAGAAAAUGCUUCUGUAACAAAUUCCUUGAGAGUGAAGCUGCCAUGGUCCUUAGGAGUUGGAGAAAAAGAGGUAAGACAGUGAAGUCUUUAACUGCUCCAGAAGAAGAGGGUCUGGAAAGAAAAUGUCUCUGGCAAAAAAGUAUCAGUCAUAUUUACAGACCCCUCAGACAAUCACCAGAGCAGGUGUCACCAGAUGGCCCAAACCAGUGGUGCAGAGAAGGAAGAGGAAUCCACCUGUUCAGGCACAUGAUACUGUAG
This 284-nucleotide long non-coding RNA is filed under the name Cyanistes caeruleus (blue tit). RNAcentral describes it as "lncRNA (ENSCCEG00000020351.1)". The record is from RNAcentral. Lineage: Eukaryota; Metazoa; Chordata; Aves; Passeriformes; Paridae.